RNAcentral lists this ribosomal RNA (481 nucleotides) under uncultured bacterium. RNAcentral describes it as "partial 16S ribosomal RNA". It matches the Rfam family "Bacterial small subunit ribosomal RNA", at positions 28 to 507 of the family's 1533-position model. The record is from RNAcentral.
GAUGAACGCUGGCGGCGUGCUUAACACAUGCAAGUCGAACGAAGCACUUUAUUUGAUUUCCUUCGGGACUGAUUAUUUUGUGACUGAGUGGCGGACGGGUGAGUAACGCGUGGGUAACCUGCCUUGUACAGGGGGAUAACAGUUGGAAACGGCUGCUAAUACCGCAUAAGCGCACAGCAUCGCAUGAUGCAGUGUGAAAAACUCCGGUGGUAUAAGAUGGACCCGCGUUGGAUUAGCUAGUUGGUGAGGUAACGGCCCACCAAGGCGACGAUCCAUAGCCGACCUGAGAGGGUGACCGGCCACAUUGGGACUGAGACACGGCCCAAACUCCUACGGGAGGCAGCAGUGGGGAAUAUUGCAAAAUGGGCGAAAGCCUGAUGCAGCGACGCCGCGUGAGCGAAGAAGUAUUUCGGUAUGUAAAGCUCUAUCAGCAGGGAAGAUAAUGACGGUACCUGACUAAGAAGCACCGGCUAAAUACGUG